RNAcentral lists this ribosomal RNA (467 nucleotides) under uncultured bacterium. RNAcentral's name for it is "partial 16S ribosomal RNA". It matches the Rfam family "Bacterial small subunit ribosomal RNA", at positions 29 to 507 of the family's 1533-position model. The record is from RNAcentral.
ACGAACGCUGGCGGCGUGCUUAACACAUGCAAGUCGAACGGAAAGGCCCUGCUUUUGUGGGGUGCUCGAGUGGCGAACGGGUGAGUAACACGUGAGUAACCUGCCCUUGACUUUGGGAUAACUUCAGGAAACUGGGGCUAAUACCGGAUAGGAGCUCCUGCUGCAUGGUGGGGGUUGGAGAGUUUCGGCGGUUGGGGAUGGACUCGCGGCUUAUCAGCUUGUUGGUGGGGUAGUGGCUUACCAAGGCUUUGACGGGUAGCCGGCCUGAGAGGGUGACCGGCCACAUUGGGACUGAGAUACGGCCCAGACUCCUACGGGAGGCAGCAGUGGGGAAUAUUGCACAAUGGGCGGAAGCCUGAUGCAGCAACGCCGCGUGCGGGAUGACGGCCUUCGGGUUGUAAACCGCUUUCGCCUGUGACGAAGCGUGAGUGACGGUAAUGGGUAAAGAAGCACCGGCUAACUACGUG